AGUUGUUGAAAGUGAUACACUAACAAUUGAGUCUGGACCACUUGCUAGUGAAGAUAAACCACUUUCGUGUGGUACAAACUCUGGAAAAGAACAAGAUAAUGGAAAUAGAAGAGCAGAAGCAAAAGCAAUUGGAAUUACUUGAACAAAUUGAACAGCAGAAAUUAAGAUUAGAAAGUGACUGCUUCAGGGCUCAGCUGGAAGAAGAAAAAAGAAAAAAAA
This 219-nucleotide small RNA is filed under the name Pongo abelii (Sumatran orangutan). Its description in RNAcentral is "processed transcript". The record is from RNAcentral. Lineage: Eukaryota; Metazoa; Chordata; Mammalia; Primates; Hominidae.